Molecule: transfer RNA, 74 nt
Filed under: Ornithinimicrobium humiphilum
Lineage: Bacteria; Bacillati; Actinomycetota; Actinomycetes; Micrococcales; Ornithinimicrobiaceae
Rfam family: tRNA
About the family: Transfer RNA (tRNA) molecules are approximately 80 nucleotides in length. Their secondary structure includes four short double-helical elements and three loops (D, anti-codon, and T loops).
Source: Rfam by way of RNAcentral
GCCCCUGUAGCUCAGACGGUCAGAGCGGACGCCUUGUAAGCGUCAGGUCGCCGGUUCGAGACCGGCCAGGGGCU